CAAAAUAAAGCUUAAUUAUAAAGCAUCUCGUUUACGUUGAGAAGAUUUACUGUGAAAAUCAGUUUAUUUUGA
This 72-nucleotide transfer RNA is filed under the name Emerita talpoida. RNAcentral's name for it is "tRNA-Val". It matches the Rfam family "tRNA". From Rfam's summary of the family: Transfer RNA (tRNA) molecules are approximately 80 nucleotides in length. Their secondary structure includes four short double-helical elements and three loops (D, anti-codon, and T loops). Lineage: Eukaryota; Metazoa; Arthropoda; Malacostraca; Decapoda; Hippidae. The record is from RNAcentral.